Molecule: non-coding RNA, 29 nt
Filed under: Homo sapiens (human)
Lineage: Eukaryota; Metazoa; Chordata; Mammalia; Primates; Hominidae
Source: RNAcentral
UGGGAAGGUUUUGGAGCAUGGAGAGCCUG